AACAGCUACUCCCGGGAGAACGUCCAUUUAGCGAUCAGAUUUUAUAAUUUUAUGGGUAGAAUUACCGAAAUAAACAGGUUUUUAAAAUAGUUUAAAACACUAGGAUUUCAAAAAUAAAUUCAGAGAACUUCCAGAGAAGCUUUUGAUUCGCUGUUGACUUCUCCGGACGCCAGAGGGCGAAACUGAGCGGAGCGCGAGGAAGAGAAGAAGAAGAACCGUAAACAAACCGAGCGGAGCCGCAGCUGCACCGUCGCUCCGCCGCGGCGGGAAGGAGAUGCCGACGCUCAGCAGACGGACUCUGGACAGGAUCCAGUCCGCGGUUCUGCUGGCCGUGGUGGUUCUGUCCUGGUCUUAUGUGAUCUACGCCGGCAGGGUGGCGGCGCUGUGGAUGCUGGAGAAAAGGACCGAGGUCCAGAACUGACGGGAGAACCAGAACCUGCUGGAGAACCAGAAUCAAAACCUGCUGGAGGUCCAGAACCUGCUGGAGAACCAGAACCAGAACCUGCUGGAGAACCAGAACCUGCUGGAGAAGAGGACCGAGGUCCAGAACUGACGGGAGAGCCGGAACCUGCUGGAGAACCAGAACCAGAACCUGCUGGAGAACCAGAACCAGAACCUGCUGGAGAACCAGAACCAGCUGGAGAAAAGGACCGAGGUCCAGAACUGACGGGAGAACCAGAACCUGCUGGAGAACCAGAACCAAAACCUGCUGGAGGUCCAGAACCUGCUGGAGAACCAGAACCAAAACCUGCUGGAGGUCCAGAACCUGCUGGAGAACCAGAACCUGCUGGAGAACCAGAACCAGAACCUGCUGGAGAAAAGGACCGAGGUCCAGAACUGACGGGAGAACCAGAACCUGCUGGAGAACCAGAACCAAAACCUGCUGGAGGUCCAGAACCUGCUGGAGAACCAGAACCUGCUGGAGAAAAGGACCGAGGUCCAGAACUGACGAGAGAACCAGAACCUGCUGGAGAACCAGAACCAGAACCUGCUGGACAACCAGAACCUGCUGGAGAAAAGGAGAGAGGUCCAGAACUGACGGGAGAGCCGGAUCCUGCAGAGCAGGAGGUACAGAACCUGCUGGACAACCAGAACCUGCUGGAGGAAAGGAGAGAGGUCCAGAACUGACGGGAGAGCCGGAUCCUGCUGAGGAAGAGGUCCAGAACCUGCUGGAGAACCAGAACCAGAACCUCCUGGAGAACCAGAACCUGCUGGAGAACUAGAACCUGCUGGAGGUCCAGAACCUGCUGGAGAACCAGAACCAGAACCUGCUGGAGGUCCAGAACCUGCUGGAGGUCCAGAACCAGAACCUGCUGGAGAAAAGGACCGAGGUCCAGAACUGACGAGAGAGCCGGAUCCUGCUGAGCAGGAGGUCCAGAACCUGCUGGAGAACCAGAACCAGAAUCUGCUGGACAACCAGAACCUGCUGGAGAACCAGAACCUGCUGAAGGUCCAGAACCUUUUAAAAUUAAAGAACUGAUUGUUGUUCCAGAUGUGAAAGGAUGUUGGACCUGCGGUGUCUGUCCAGCAGGUGGAGCUGUAGAGUUUACUUCAUGGUCCGUCUCUGGUUCUGAUCGUCUUCUCUGCUCUGAAACAUUUUCUCUGAACGGAUCAUCUGGAGGAUGUCGUGUGGCGUCGCCGUCGGACCGUUUCCCGCCGACGCCGCGAUGUAACACGACACUAAACCAAUCAGAACGUUCGGCCACG
Molecule: long non-coding RNA, 1707 nt
Filed under: Oryzias javanicus (javanese ricefish)
Lineage: Eukaryota; Metazoa; Chordata; Actinopteri; Beloniformes; Adrianichthyidae
Description: lncRNA (ENSOJAG00000013013.1)
Source: RNAcentral